Molecule: long non-coding RNA, 811 nt
Organism: Ixodes scapularis (black-legged tick)
Lineage: Eukaryota; Metazoa; Arthropoda; Arachnida; Ixodida; Ixodidae
Exons: 2
Source: RefSeq, a predicted model, not a curated record
ACAACCUGUACUAAAAUGUUUUGUUUGUUUUCGCUUUCUUUCAGAUGUAACAGCUGGUGCAGGAGAAUCAACAACCAGCUGCCAACCCAGGGCACCACACACCAAGCAUGGACCUAAACUCCCGGCCGACUGGCAGGAAGCGAAGCCAGCUGGGAACGAUCCACAGUCUUGCAGAAGCUCCAAGCUGAAGAACGCCAGCAACAGCGGCCAACGUGUUGCGAGCCGACCGGCCCCACCGUCAAACUAUAUUCAAACUGUACAUAUACCCACCGUUUGAGAAAGUUUCGGAUGCAGUAGAGGUCGUCGCUAGUCGCAUGUGAGCUCACGAAGGGCACGUAGGAAUGUCCCGUCUACGAUAUUUUGUCUGUCGUCAGCAUAUAACUCGGCGUAUGUUUGCGUGUUUGUCUCCACACGUGAACCAUCCCCGAGAGUUGUGAUCUUACGGCUGGUUUCCACACUUGCGUUUGGCUGCAGCUCAGCGUGCUGGGGUGAGUUUUUAAGCCUUUGGCGACUGCUUAUGACCAGCUUCAAAAAGGGGCUUAAAAACCGUGUAGCACAGUUAGUUGCAACCAAAUGCGAGUGCGGAAACCAGCCUUUAAAGCCUUCGUUAGCAAUCACCAAAGUAGGUAAAGUGAGGAAUCGGCGUGUUGCCUAAGCUUUACGAAUGGUAGCGGUGUAGGCUUCGAUGUCAUAGUUGAGGCGUGAACACAAUCUAGUUGAAGAAACCUGUGUUCUCAAAAGGGUUUUGUUGUGAAAGAUGUCCAAUAAAGUGGCUCCACAACUUGAGAAAAAAAGAAAGGACAGCACUCUA